AAAUAUAAAUUUUCAUAGCAGCAACAAGUCCUUUAAUUGAUUUGGAUGUCAAAAUAAUAAUUCAUCUGGAUCUUCUAUAACUUGAUUAUUUUUCCAAUAAUUUGCAACUAUGGCGAAUACUGAUGAGUUUCCGCCGCUAUGCGUCAAUAACAUCAAUUGAGGAACAUGCUGUAUUAUCAGACUCCAUCGAUCGAAGAUUCACACCUGCAAAUCAAGAUCUAAAGUUUCAAAUCAAAUAAAAUCAAAUAUCAUAGUUUUGUUUAGUACUAAAACCUUACAUUAUCAUUCAUACCUUUUAUUCUAUAUGAUAUAUCAGUCACGGUCCAAAUUAGUAUUGGAGAUGUUUUUAUCUCUCUCUCCCAACAUACAAGAAAGUCAAUAGAUGUUCAUUAAUAUGCAUAUGGAUAUGCUAAAACAAAGGGUCAGGAACAUUUAAUAAAAUAAGAAAUGGAAAUGAUAAAAAAAAUGAAAAGACAACAUAGCCUAUUUUCUUUCUCCGGUUGCAGAAAAUAAUCUUAUUUCAUGCAUUUUCAUUCAACCACAGAUCUCCAGAAAAAAGUCCAAACACAGUUGUUCCACUGAUAGGACAUCCAUGUAUAUAGAGUAAAGUAUAUAGGAAAUUCCACUAAAAGCUUGAAGAAAAU
This 644-nucleotide long non-coding RNA is filed under the name Jatropha curcas. Its description in RNAcentral is "long non-coding RNA (JCUR_LNC002346)". Lineage: Eukaryota; Viridiplantae; Streptophyta; Magnoliopsida; Malpighiales; Euphorbiaceae. The record is from RNAcentral.